Molecule: ribosomal RNA, 497 nt
Filed under: uncultured bacterium
Lineage: Bacteria
Description: partial 16S ribosomal RNA
Rfam family: Bacterial small subunit ribosomal RNA
Source: RNAcentral
GAUGAACGCUGGCGGCGUGCCUAAUACAUGCAAGUCGAGCGAACAGACGAGGAGCUUGCUCCUCUGACGUUAGCGGCGGACGGGUGAGUAACACGUGGAUAACCUACCUAUAAGACUGGGAUAACUUCGGGAAACCGGAGCUAAUACCGGAUAAUAUAUUGAACCGCAUGGUUCAAUAGUGAAAGACGGUUUUGCUGUCACUUAUAGAUGGAUCCGCGCCGCAUUAGCUAGUUGGUAAGGUAACGGCUUACCAAGGCAACGAUGCGUAGCCGACCUGAGAGGGUGGUCGGCCACACUGGAACUGAGACACGGUCCAGGGUCCUACGGGAGGCAGCAGUAGGGAAUCUUCCGCAAUGGGCGAAAGCUUGACGGAGCAACGCCGCGUGAGUGAUGAAGGUCUUCGGAUCGUAAAACUCUGUUAUUAGGGAAGAACAAAUGUGUAAGUAACUAUGCACGUCUUGACGGUACCUAAUCAGAAAGCCACGGCUAACUACGUG